Molecule: ribosomal RNA, 476 nt
Filed under: uncultured bacterium
Lineage: Bacteria
Description: partial 16S ribosomal RNA
Rfam family: Bacterial small subunit ribosomal RNA
Source: RNAcentral
GACGAACGCUGGCGGCGUGCUUAACACAUGCAAGUCGAACGGUAAGGCCCUUCGGGGUACACGAGUGGCGAACGGGUGAGUAACACGUGGGUGAUCUACCCUGCACUUCGGGAUAAGCCUGGGAAACUGGGUCUAAUACCGGAUAGGACUCCGGACUGCAUGGUCUGGGGUGGAAAACUUUUGCGGUGUGGGAUGGGCCCGCGGCCUAUCAGCUUGUUGGUGGGGUGAUGGCCUACCAAGGCGACGACGGGUAGCCGGCCUGAGAGGGUGACCGGCCACACUGGGACUGAGAUACGGCCCAGACUCCUACGGGAGGCAGCAGUGGGGAAUAUUGGACAAUGGGCGAAAGCCUGAUCCAGCGACGCCGCGUGGACGAUGACGGCCUUCGGGUUGUAAAGUCCUUUUGGCAGGGAACAAUAAUUUGAGCGUACCUGCAGAAUAAGUGGUUGCUAACUCUGUGCCAGCCGCCGCGGUAA